This 773-nucleotide ribosomal RNA is filed under the name uncultured Neocallimastigales. RNAcentral's name for it is "partial large subunit ribosomal RNA". It matches the Rfam family "Eukaryotic large subunit ribosomal RNA", at positions 24 to 616 of the family's 3401-position model. The record is from RNAcentral. Lineage: Eukaryota; Fungi; Neocallimastigomycota; Neocallimastigomycetes; Neocallimastigales.
AUGUGAUCGUCUCUCGCAUAUCAAUAAGCGGAGGAAAAGAAACUAACAAGGAUUCCCCUAGUAACGGCGAGUGAAGCGGGAAGAGCUCAAAUUUGAAAUCUUAGAGGGUUUCCCUUUACGAAUUGUAGUUUAAAGAAGUGUUUUCUGUUGAGGUUUUGGUAAAAGUUCUUUGGAAUAGGACAUCAUAGAGGGUGAGAAUCCCGUAUUUGACCUUUACUUUCAACUUUGUGAUACACUUUCAAAGAGUCGGAUUGUUUGGGAAUGCAGUCCAAAAUGGGUGGUAAAUUUCAUCUAAAGCUAAAUAUUGGCGAGAGACCGAUAGCGAACAAGUACCGUGAGGGAAAGAUGAAAAGAACUUUGAAAAGAGAGUUAAACAGUACGUGAAAUUGUCAAAAGGGAAGCGUUUGACACCAGUGUUGUUUUUCUGAAAAUCAAUUAAAGAACUGUUUAUGCUAAGCUGUUUAGACUUUAUCAGCUAUCUGUUUAGUUUUGAGCUUUUCUUUAAUGCACUUUUCAGUUAACAAGUCAACAUCAAUUUCUUUUGCUGUAAAAAAGCUUGAGGAAGGUGGCUUGAGAUUCGUCUUAAGUGUUUAUAGCCUCUUGCCUAUGCAGUCGGAGAGAUUGAGGUCUGCAGCGUAGAUCCUUCGGGGCUAAAUGCAUUUGUGCUAAGUUAUAGCAUUUUAUAGACAACUUGUUGACUAUGAUUUGUCUUGUAGCUUACUCGCUUAUGUUAUUUUACCUACGCUUAGGAUGUUGAGCGCAUGUCUCUCUCU